CCAGACGGUCGGAUGGCCGCUGUUUAGGCUUUCGAGCUUGAAUAGAGGAAAGUCCGGGCUCCACGGAGACACGGUGCCGGGUAACACCCGGCGGAGGCGACUCCAGGGAAAGUGCCACAGAAAGCAAACCGCCCAAUUUAUUGGGUAAGGGUGAAAGGGUGCGGUAAGAGCGCACCGCGUCGGCGGUAACGUCGGCGGCAGGGUAAACCCCACCGGGAGCAAGACCAAAUAGGGAUGACGCACUUUUCGAAGUAGGCGGGUUUUCGCGCCGUCAUCCGGGUCGGUCGCAUGAGGCGUUCGGUAACGGGCGUCCCAGAUGAAUGGUCAUCACCUAUCGGUUCGCCGAUAGCGUACAGAACCCGGCUUACAGACCGUCUGGCAUA
This 383-nucleotide RNase P RNA is filed under the name Rhodospirillaceae bacterium. RNAcentral's name for it is "RNase P RNA component class A". It matches the Rfam family "Bacterial RNase P class A". From Rfam's summary of the family: Ribonuclease P (RNase P) is a ubiquitous endoribonuclease, found in archaea, bacteria and eukarya as well as chloroplasts and mitochondria. Its best characterised activity is the generation of mature 5'-ends of tRNAs by cleaving the 5'-leader elements of precursor-tRNAs. The record is from RNAcentral. Lineage: Bacteria; Pseudomonadati; Pseudomonadota; Alphaproteobacteria; Rhodospirillales; Rhodospirillaceae.